Molecule: ribosomal RNA, 236 nt
Filed under: uncultured bacterium
Lineage: Bacteria
Description: partial 16S ribosomal RNA
Rfam family: Bacterial small subunit ribosomal RNA
Source: RNAcentral
UACGGAGGAUGCAAGCGUUAUCCGGAAUGAUUGGGCGUAAAGCGUCCGCAGGUGGCUAUGUAAGUCUGCUGUUAAAGAGUCUGGCUCAACCAGAUAAAGGCAGUGGAAACUACACGGCUAGAGUGCGUUCGGGCAGAGGGAAUUCCUGGUGUAGCGGUGAAAUGCGUAGAUAUCAGGAGGAACACCGGUGGCGAAGGCGGCUGCCUGGCCUAGAACUGACGCUGAGGUCGCGAAAG